Molecule: long non-coding RNA, 609 nt
Organism: Wyeomyia smithii (pitcher-plant mosquito)
Lineage: Eukaryota; Metazoa; Arthropoda; Insecta; Diptera; Culicidae
Exons: 2
Source: RefSeq, a predicted model, not a curated record
UAAACGAUGUAAACAUUGUAAAUAUUGAAAAGCGAUAAUUUCGCAGCUGCAAUAAAAAACGAAAUCUGCGAAUAAAAGUGAUCCUUUUGUCUUGUCUUGAAUAAUGUUAUAUAGGUACAUCUCAAGCGUUUUUUAUUCAUAAAAAAAAGAAGAAACCCUUCAACUGCUGCCAUUCAGUAAACUACCGAAAAAGAUUGAAUUCAAGCAUCAACCGAAAAGCAUUUCCCGGUACCGUUUGGACUAUUUAAGCAAUAAAACGAUUUUAAGCAGCUGGCACUCAUGGCACUUUCUCAUAUCGACAAACGAUCAUCGGAUACCACCCAUCCAUCAAAAACAUUGAUUUGGGCCUCGAUCGACACGCAUCACAUUUGAGCAAUGGACAGAGAGCAGGAAUUAUUUGCCAUGAAUAUACGGAACACAUUUCGCCCGAUCGCAAUGAGGCGCCGGAUAUAGGCACGGGCAGGUUGAAACUUUUUGGGUUUAUGGACAUGGGUUUCAGAAGCAUAGUUGUUACAAAUGACUCUGUUUAAGUGAAGUGUAUACAAAUUAAGAAAGAAAAUUUAAUUAACGAUAGAAUAUUAACGAAUAAAAAUUUAUAUUUAUUUAAUA